AAAUCAGACGAGAAGACCCUGUGGAGCUUUAAUUCAUUAAUACAAAUAAAACUCAAGCCUACAGGCGCUAGCCUACUCCCCCUGCAUUAAAAAUUUUGGUUGGGGUGACCUCGGGGCAUAAUCCAACCUCUGAAGGACCUAAACUAAGACCACACUACUCUAAGUGAAUUAAUACACAUUGACCCAAUAAUUUAAUCAAUGGAAUAGGUUACCCUAGGGAUAACAGUGCAAUCCUAUCCUAGAGUCCAUAGCAACCUGACUACCUCACUGUUGAAUCGGGACAUCCUAAUGGUAUAGCCACUAUUAAGGGUUUGUUGCUCAACAAUUAAAGUCAUACGUGAUCUGAGUUCAGACCAGAGUAAUCCAGGUCUGUUUCUAUCUAUUU
Ribosomal RNA from Chlorocebus sabaeus (green monkey), 385 nucleotides. It matches the Rfam family "Bacterial large subunit ribosomal RNA", at positions 2073 to 2647 of the family's 2925-position model. NCBI's taxonomy places the organism in Eukaryota, Metazoa, Chordata, Mammalia, Primates, Cercopithecidae. The record is from Rfam.